This 494-nucleotide ribosomal RNA is filed under the name uncultured bacterium. Its description in RNAcentral is "partial 16S ribosomal RNA". It matches the Rfam family "Bacterial small subunit ribosomal RNA", at positions 28 to 507 of the family's 1533-position model. The record is from RNAcentral.
GACGAACGCUGGCGGCGUGCUUAACACAUGCAAGUCGAACGGAAAGGCCUGCUUUCCCUUGUGGAUUGCGGGUACUCGAGUGGCGAACGGGUGAGUAACACGUGAGUGAUCUGCCCCCAACUUGGGUAUAAGCCUGGGAAACUGGGUCUAAUUCCCGAUAGGACUGCAGGGUGGUGCCUGUGGUGGAAAACGAUUUUCUAGUGGUUGGGGAUGAGCUCGCGGCCUAUCAGCUUGUUGGUGGGGUAAUGGCCUACCAAGGCGGCGACGGGUAGCCGGCCUGAGAGGGUGGACGGCCACAUUGAGACUGAGAUACGGCCCAGACUCCUACGGGAGGCAGCAGUGGGGAAUAUUGCACAAUGGGCGGAAGCCUGAUGCAGCGACGCCGCGUGGAGGAUGACGGCCUUCGGGUUGUAAACUCCUUUCGACCGCGAGGAAGCCACCUGGUUGGAAGGGUGGUGACGGUAGUGGUAGAAGAAGCACCGGCUAACUACGUG